This 537-nucleotide ribosomal RNA is filed under the name uncultured archaeon. RNAcentral's name for it is "bacterial SSU rRNA". It matches the Rfam family "Archaeal small subunit ribosomal RNA", at positions 463 to 997 of the family's 1478-position model. The record is from RNAcentral.
AGCCGCGGUAACGACCGGCGGCCCGAGUGGUGAUCGUGAUUAUUGGGUCGUAAAGGGUCCGUAGCCGGUUGGUCAGUCCUCCGGGAAAUCUGAUAGCUCAACUAUUAGGCUUUCGGGGGAUACUGCCAGACUUGGAACCGGGAGAGGUAAGAGGUACUACAGGGGUAGGAGUGAAAUCUUGUAAUCCCUGUGGGACCACCUGUGGCGAAGGCGUCUUACCAGAACGGGUUCGACGGUGAGGGACGAAAGCUGGGGGCACGAACCGGAUUAGAUACCCGGGUAGUCCCAGCCGUAAACGAUGCUCGCUAGGUGUCAGGCAUGGCGCGACCGUGUCUGGUGCCGCAGGGAAGCCGUGAAGCGAGCCACCUGGGAAGUACGGCCGCAAGGCUGAAACUUAAAGGAAUUGGCGGGGGAGCACAACAACGGGUGGAAGCCUGCGGUUUAAUUGGACUCAACGCCGGACAACUCACCGGGGGCGACAGCAAUAUGUAGGCCAAGCUGAAGACUUUGCCUGAAUCGCUGAGAAGAGGUGCAUGG